This 274-nucleotide long non-coding RNA is filed under the name Hordeum vulgare. RNAcentral describes it as "long non-coding RNA (HVUL_LNC019619)". The record is from RNAcentral. Lineage: Eukaryota; Viridiplantae; Streptophyta; Magnoliopsida; Poales; Poaceae.
CGCCACAAGUCUCCUCUACACUGUGCUGCUGGCAAACAUGUCUCAAAGAAUUCGUCGAUCAAACAUGUGUUUAUGUUGUGAUGAACCGUUGACUUUCACCGACUGAAGAUCUUAUAUUUUUAAUUUGGACUAUGGAAUUUGUCAUGUUUUCCAUUUGGCCCGUGGCAAGUGUGCAUAUACCGUUGAUUAUAUGAGCCUAUUUGUUGUUAUCUGUAAUUUAAUUAUACCUUUGUUCCAAGUACAUUUCUUCUAUAAGCUUUUGAAGUGAUAAAAA